Molecule: small nucleolar RNA, 55 nt
Filed under: Saccharolobus solfataricus P2
Lineage: Archaea; Thermoproteati; Thermoproteota; Thermoprotei; Sulfolobales; Sulfolobaceae
Description: Sulfolobus solfataricus P2 Small nucleolar RNA sR12
Rfam family: Small nucleolar RNA sR12
Source: Rfam by way of RNAcentral
AAGUGAUGUAGCAGGGACGUACUGAAGCUAAUGUGGAAAGAGUAUAAAGACUGAC